AUUGAACGCUGGCGGCAGGCCUAACACAUGCAAGUCGAACGGCAACAGGAAACAGCUUGCUGUUUCGCUGACGAGUGGCGGGCGGGUGAGAAAUGUAUGGGAAACUGCCCGAUGGAGGGGGAUAACUACUGGAAACGGUAGCUAUUACCGCAUAUCGUCGCAAGAGCAAAGAGGGGGACCUCCAGGCCUCUUGCCCUCAGAUGCGCCCAGAUGGGAUUUGCUAGUAGGUGGGGUAACGGCUCACCCAGGCGACGAUCCCUAGCUGGUCUGAGAGGAUGACCAGCCACACUGGAACUGAGACACGGUCCAGACUCCUACGGGAGGCAGCAGUGGGGAAUAUUGCACAAUGGGCGCAAGCCUGAUGCAGCCAUGCCGCGUGGAUGAAGAAGGCCUUCGGGUUGUAAAGUACUUUCAGCGGGGAAGAAGGGAGUAAAGUUAAUACCUUUGCUCAUUGACGGUACCCACAGAAGAAGCACCGGCUAACUCCGUG
RNAcentral lists this ribosomal RNA (490 nucleotides) under uncultured bacterium. Its description in RNAcentral is "partial 16S ribosomal RNA". It matches the Rfam family "Bacterial small subunit ribosomal RNA", at positions 30 to 507 of the family's 1533-position model. The record is from RNAcentral.